GUUGAACGCUGGCGGCGUGCCUAAUACAUGCAAGUCGAGCGAACAGACGAGGAGCUUGCUUCUCUGACGUUAGCGGCGGACGGGUGAGUAACACGUGGAUAACCGACCGAUAAGACUGGGAUAACUUCGGGAAACCGGAGCUAAUACCGGAUAAUAUAUUGAACCGCAUGGUUCAAUAGUGAAAGACGGUUUUGCUGUCACUUAUAGAUGGAUCCGCGCCGCAUUAGCUAGUUGGUAAGGUAACGGCUUACCAAGGCGACGAUGCGUAGCUGACCUGAGAGGGUGAUCGGCCACACUGGAACUGAGACACGGUCCAGACUCCUACGGGAGGCAGCAGUAGGGAAUCUUCCGCAAAGGGCGAAAGCCUGACGGAGCAACGCCGCGUGAGUGAUGAAGGUCUUCGGAUCGUAAAACUCUGUUAUUAGGGAAGAACAAAUGUGUAAGUAACUAUGCACGUCUUGACGGUACCUAAUCAGAAAGCCACGGCUAACUACGUG
RNAcentral lists this ribosomal RNA (497 nucleotides) under uncultured bacterium. RNAcentral's name for it is "partial 16S ribosomal RNA". It matches the Rfam family "Bacterial small subunit ribosomal RNA", at positions 28 to 507 of the family's 1533-position model. The record is from RNAcentral.